This is a non-coding RNA of Massospora cicadina, 77 nucleotides long. NCBI's taxonomy places the organism in Eukaryota, Fungi, Entomophthoromycota, Entomophthoromycetes, Entomophthorales, Entomophthoraceae. The record is from the annotation of a GenBank genome assembly.
GGGGGGGUGGAAGGCGAGUUGGUAAGGGCAUACGGCUACUAACCUGAAGGUUGCAGGCUCAAUUCCUGCCCUUUUCA